GAUGAACGCUGGCGGCGUGCCUAAUACAUGCAAGUAGAACGCUGAAGCUUGGUGCUUGCACCGAGCGGAUGAGUUGCGAACGGGUGAGUAACGCGUAGGUAACCUGCCUCUUAGCGGGGGAUAACUAUUGGAAACGAUAGCUAAUACCGCAUAAAAGUCGAUAUCGCAUGAUAUUGAUUUGAAAGGUGCAAUUGCAUCACUAAGAGAUGGACCUGCGUUGUAUUAGCUAGUUGGUGAGGUAACGGCUCACCAAGGCGACGAUACAUAGCCGACCUGAGAGGGUGAUCGGCCACACUGGGACUGAGACACGGCCCAG
This 316-nucleotide ribosomal RNA is filed under the name uncultured bacterium. RNAcentral's name for it is "bacterial SSU rRNA". It matches the Rfam family "Bacterial small subunit ribosomal RNA", at positions 28 to 334 of the family's 1533-position model. The record is from RNAcentral.